This 1971-nucleotide small RNA is filed under the name Pan troglodytes (chimpanzee). RNAcentral's name for it is "retained intron". The record is from RNAcentral. Lineage: Eukaryota; Metazoa; Chordata; Mammalia; Primates; Hominidae.
GUAACGCCUUCAACCGCCCGCCGCGAUAGAGUGCCCACGACCCUGCCUCGGGAAUCCCGCUCUGCACCGCCCCACCAGACCCGGACUCGGAGCCGCGAGCGGCCCGAGAUGAGCAGCAAUGAUUCCUCCCUUAUGGCUGGGAUCAUUUACUAUAGCCAGGAAAAGUACUUCCACCAUGUGCAGCAGGCUGCAGCUGUGGGCCUGGAAAAAUUCAGCAAUGACCCUGUGUUGAAGUUCUUUAAAGCCUAUGGAGUCCUCAAAGAAGGCAAUGUACUUCAUGAUGCAGCAGAACUACUCAGAGGCCCUGGAGGUGGUGAACCAGAUCACUGUGACUUCAGGGAGCUUCCUGCCAGCCCUCGUCCUGAAGAUGCAGCUGUUCUUAGCUCGGCAGGACUGGGAGCAGACAGUAGAAAUGGGACACAGAAUCCUAGAAAAAGAUGAGAGCAAUAUUGAUGCCUGCCAAAUUCUAACUGUGCAUGAGCUUGCAAGAGAAGGAAACAUGACCACAGUAAGUUCUUUGAAGACUCAGAAGGUGAUCCUUGAAACAGAAUCAAGGAGGAACCCUUCAUAACCUGUGCACCUGACCCAAAGCCCUUGUAGGGAGCUCCUGGAUCUCAGCUUCCUCUUUUCUACCCCACCCCUAUACUCGCUGCCAAGGAGGCCUGCUCUGGUUUGACUCUUUGAGUUGUGUAGCUUGGGAGUCAGGCAGUGAGAUUGAUUCUAGGCUCUGCCAUGUGCUGUCUGUGGAAGCCUGGGCAGGUGUCCCCACCUGGAUAAGCCUCAGGCUUCCUGUUUGUAAAAUAGAAUUCCACACAGGACUAAAUGUGAUAAGAAGUGGGAGAGUUUGGAACAGUCCCUGGCACACUACAGUAAUUCCAUCAAUGUUAACUGAUAGUAGAAGUUGUGGUAGUAUUUCUGAAUUCAGGAAAUGCCUUUUUUUUAGGGGAUAGUUGGAACUGCUCAGGCAUUGGCCAGGUAAUACUGGGCCCCAAACAUGCUCGUAAGUCUUGUAGUUUUCCAAAGAAACCAAAAAUAGCCCUCAAAUGCAGUCAGAAACACCUAGAAUUCUUAGUGAAACCUCAAUACCCAGACAGGUUCUCAUUUUCAAAAAGGUUUGUUUUUAGCCAAAGCAUUGCCUUUUAGAUCAGUGAAAUAUAUUGCCUCUAUGGAGAGCAUGGCAAACCAAGAGUCUCUAAGGGGUCAUGGUGGGAAGGGGAAACUUCUGGUUUCUUCUGCACAGCUCUGAGAUUGUGGAUUUUGUGGGAUGGGGUGAGGUAGAGGGGAGAGUCCGUAUUUGGGAGAAAAAGGCCCCAGCCCUUUUCGUCUCUGGGUAGGAAUAACAGAAUAGGACUAUCCUCAGCUCCCUGUGACUCCAGAUCCCUAAGCAGGCCUUCCUGGGGCCUGGCCUGAAAGUUAAUCCCAGGGGCAGACUUAGCAUUUAGCUAACUGAGAUUUAGCAUUAGCCCCUUUUUUACUCCCACUUCAAACCUUGGGACCUACCCACCGACCCCGGGCUGGCUACCCAGUUCUAAUUUUGUUCAUACUUACUGAACAGAGUGGACCCAUACCAUCCUUGGUUUUGCUUUUGGCACUUCUCUGCAGCUGGGAACUAAGAAUUCCUUACUCCUGGGUGGGGAGUGGGAAAGAACCUAAGCUUUGGAAUCUGUCAGUGACCUAGGUGGCUGGGUGACCUCAGACCACUUGCCUAACCUUUCUAACCUUUCAUGUGUUGGACAGGAAGGUUUGGAAAGUUCGAAUAGUUAUACUGACUUACAUUUGAUUCAUGUCAAAAUGGAGCAGAGGCUUCUGGGCCAGCACAGUUAGUUUGCUGCUGGCCUGGCAGGCUGCACUGUGGACACAGUGAGGGCUAGCUCCUGGCUCUACCUGGGUGGGUCUGAAAAGGCAACUUCUCUUCACAAACUCAGGAACAGGGCUACUCUAUGGGUUAGCCCUGCUCCAUAAGGAGCAGUC